RNAcentral lists this ribosomal RNA (460 nucleotides) under uncultured bacterium. RNAcentral describes it as "partial 16S ribosomal RNA". It matches the Rfam family "Bacterial small subunit ribosomal RNA", at positions 338 to 795 of the family's 1533-position model. The record is from RNAcentral.
CCUACGGGAGGCAGCAGUGAGGAAUAUUGGUCAAUGGACGAGAGUCUGAACCAGCCAAGUAGCGUGAAGGAUGACUGCCCUAUGGGUUGUAAACUUCUUUUAUAUGGGAAUAAAAUGUUUCACGUGUGGGAUUUUGUAUGUACCAUAUGAAUAAGGAUCGGCUAAUUCCGUGCCAGCAGCCGCGGUAAUACGGAGGAUCCGAGCGUUAUCCGGAUUUAUUGGGUUUAAAGGGAGCGUAGGUGGAUUGUUAAGUCAGUUGUGAAAGGUUGCGGCUCAACCGUAAAAUUGCAGUGGAAACUGGCAGUCUUGAGUACAGUAGAGGUGGGCGGAAUUCGUGGUGUAGCGGUGAAAUGCUUAGAUAUCACGAAGAACUCCGAUUGCGAAGGCAGUUCACUGGACUGCAACUGACGCUGAGGCUCGAAAGUGUGGGUAUCGAACAGGAUUAGAUACCCUUGUAGUC